RNAcentral lists this transfer RNA (64 nucleotides) under Tenebrionoidea sp. 1 KM-2017. Its description in RNAcentral is "tRNA-Leu". It matches the Rfam family "tRNA". From Rfam's summary of the family: Transfer RNA (tRNA) molecules are approximately 80 nucleotides in length. Their secondary structure includes four short double-helical elements and three loops (D, anti-codon, and T loops). Further hydrogen bonds mediate the characteristic L-shaped molecular structure. tRNAs have two regions of fundamental functional importance: the anti-codon, which is responsible for specific mRNA codon recognition, and the 3' end, to which the tRNAs corresponding amino acid is attached (by aminoacyl-tRNA synthetases). tRNAs cope with the degeneracy of the genetic code in two manners: having more than one tRNA (with a specific anti-codon) for a particular amino acid; and 'wobble' base-pairing, i.e. permitting non-standard base-pairing at the 3rd anti-codon position. Lineage: Eukaryota; Metazoa; Arthropoda; Insecta; Coleoptera. The record is from RNAcentral.
UCUAAUAUGGCAGAAUAGUGCGAUGGACUUAAACCCCAUUUAUAAAGAAUUUCUUUUUUUAGAA